This 216-nucleotide ribosomal RNA is filed under the name uncultured prokaryote. RNAcentral's name for it is "partial 16S ribosomal RNA". It matches the Rfam family "Bacterial small subunit ribosomal RNA", at positions 525 to 740 of the family's 1533-position model. The record is from RNAcentral.
ACAGAGGGGGCAAGCGUUGUUCGGAAUUAUUGGGCGUAAAGGGCGCGUAGGCGGCCUGGUAAGUAGGGGGUGAAAUCCUGCGGCUUAACCGCAGGGCUGCCUUCUAAACUGUCAGGCUUGAGCACAGUAGAGGCAGGUGGAAUUCCCGGUGUAGCGGUGGAAUGCGUAGAGAUCGGGAAGAACAUCAGUGGCGAAGGCGGCCUGCUGGGCUGUUGC